UGAUGGAGCACGCCGCGUGAGUGAAGAAGGCUUUCGGGUCGUAAAACUCUGUUGUUGGAGAAGAAUGGUCGGCAGAGUAACUGUUGUCGGCGUGACGGUAUCCAACCAGAAAGCCACGGCUAACUACGUGCCAGCAGCCGCGGUAAUACGUAGGUGGCAAGCGUUAUCCGGAUUUAUUGGGCGUAAAGCGAGCGCAGGCGGUUUUUUAAGUCUGAUGUGAAAGCCCUCGGCUUAACCGAGGAAGCGCAUCGGAAACUGGGAAACUUGAGUGCAGAAGAGGACAGUGGAACUCCAUGUGUAGCGGUGAAAUGCGUAGAUAUAUGGAAGAACACCAGUGGCGAAGGCGGCUGUCUGGUCUGUAACUGACGCUGAGGCUCGAAAGCAUGGGUAGCGAACAGGAUUAGAUACCCUGGUAGUCCAUGCCGUAAACGAUGAAUGCUAGGUGUUGGAGGGUUUCCGCCCUUCAGUGCCGCAGCUAACGCAUUAAGCAUUCCGCCUGGGGAGUACGACCGCAAGGUUGAAACUCAAAGGAAUUGACGGGGGCCCGCACAAGCGGUGGAGCAUGUGGUUUAAUUCGAAGCAACGCGAAGAACCUUACCAGGUCUUGACAUCUUUUGAUCACCUGAGAGAUCAGGUUUCCCCUUCGGGGGCAAAAUGACAGGUGGUGCAUGGUUGUCGUCAGCUCGUGUCGUGAGAUGUUGGGUUAAGUCCCGCAACGAGCGCAACCCUUAUGACUAGUUGCCAGCAUUUAGUUGGGCACUCUAGUAAGACUGCCGGUGACAAACCGGAGGAAGGUGGGGAUGACGUCAAAUCAUCAUGCCCCUUAUGACCUGGGCUACACACGUGCUACAAUGGAUGGUACAACGAGUUGCGAGACCGCGAGGUCAAGCUAAUCUCUUAAAGCCAUUCUCAGUUCGGACUGUAGGCUGCACUCGCCUACA
This 941-nucleotide ribosomal RNA is filed under the name Lacticaseibacillus paracasei. Its description in RNAcentral is "bacterial SSU rRNA". It matches the Rfam family "Bacterial small subunit ribosomal RNA", at positions 384 to 1320 of the family's 1533-position model. The record is from RNAcentral. Lineage: Bacteria; Bacillati; Bacillota; Bacilli; Lactobacillales; Lactobacillaceae.